This 1153-nucleotide long non-coding RNA is filed under the name Macaca mulatta (Rhesus monkey). RNAcentral's name for it is "lncRNA (ENSMMUG00000054209.1)". The record is from RNAcentral. Lineage: Eukaryota; Metazoa; Chordata; Mammalia; Primates; Cercopithecidae.
AUGGGAUCUGUUGUUGUGAAUUACUGAUCACCUUGACUGUGACACCCGGACGUGGUGGGCAGGUCUAAAGCUCAGCCCCAACUUCAUGCCAUCUUUUAACAUCCUCUUUCUUUUAUGCUUAAUGCUUUGUGGUACACUCUUCUCCCGCUGUCACCUUCCAGGACAUGUGGUGUUCAAAGGAGUGACAGCAAAUUUUGGAUUAGAAAAAUAAUUUAGGUAGGCUUUUAAUAUGAAAUUUCAUAAUUCAUUCUGCCUCAUUAAAAAAAUAAGACAGAUUUUUCAAGAGACAUGAAGAUCUGGUAGGAUACUGUUGCUAUUUCUAUCUUUUUUUAAAAAUGAUUAUAAAUUUAAAUAGGCUAAAUUUUCUUUAUUAAACCUGUAUGAAGUUGACAUUAUUUUUAAAACAAUGUUUCAAAGUAUUUAUUUAUUAAGUAUUCUAAAGUCAAUAAUUUCAUACUAAUUUUAAAAAGUAUUCAACUGAUACAAAAUAGUUUAUUCCUUUCCAGGCGUCUUUAUUGGUAGAGAGGGGGGAAAAAACCCCAUACUUUCUCAAUAAAUCUUAAAUGUUAUUAAUUAUAAAUAACCUUUAGUUCAGUCUCAUAAUUUGUGGCCAGGAAUAUAGAAGUAAACAACUUCUAUAUUUUGUAUACAAGAAGAAAAGAACAAAAACCAAAUAAACAAGCAAAAAUCUUAAAUCUCCAUAACCUUAAUUAAUCAAAUAGAGUUGAAAAUGCUAUCUAUGCUAAAUAUGAGUCUGUUCUAAUCACUUCUAGAAACUGGGCUCUAAGAUAUGCAAAGUAUAUGCAAAGUAUAUAAGAGGAGUACAUUUCCUGUAGCAUAUAAAUUCUUCCCACUUAACUAAUAUUGUUAUAGUUUCUCUUUUUUUUUUUUUGGAGACAAAGUCUCACUCUGUCACACAGGCUAUAGAGCAAUGGCCUGAUCAUGGCUCAGAGUAGCUUCAAUAUCCCAGGCUCAGGUGAUCCUCCAGCCUCAGCCUCCCAAGUAGUUGGAACUACAGCUACUUGGCAGGCCAAGGCAGGAGAAUGGCAUGAACCCGGGAGGCGAAGCUCGCAGUGAGCCGAGAGAGUGCCAUGCACUCCAGCCUGGGUGACAGAGGGAGACUCCGUCUAAAAAAAAAAAAAAAAAAAAAAAA